CCAAGGGAAACUUUGGCUAAUACCGUAUGUGCCCGUAAGGGGAAAGAUUUAUCGCCAUUGGAUGAGCCCGCGUUGGAUUAGCUAGUUGGUGGGGUAAUGGCCUACCAAGGCGACGAUCCAUAGCUGGUCUGAGAGGAUGAUCAGCCACACUGGGACUGAGACACGGCCCAGACUCCUACGGGAGGCAGCAGUGGGGAAUAUUGGACAAUGGGCGCAAGCCUGAUCCAGCCAUGCCGCGUGAGUGAUGAAGGCCUUAGGGUUGUAAAGCUCUUUCAGCGGGGAAGAUAAUGACGGUACCCGCAGAAGAAGCCCCGGCUAACUUCGUGCCAGCAGCCGCGGUAAUACGAAGGGGGCUAGCGUUGUUCGGAAUCACUGGGCGUAAAGCGCGCGUAGGCGGAUUGUUAAGUCGGGGGU
This 414-nucleotide ribosomal RNA is filed under the name uncultured bacterium. RNAcentral's name for it is "bacterial SSU rRNA". It matches the Rfam family "Bacterial small subunit ribosomal RNA", at positions 147 to 595 of the family's 1533-position model. The record is from RNAcentral.